RNAcentral lists this ribosomal RNA (420 nucleotides) under uncultured bacterium. RNAcentral describes it as "bacterial SSU rRNA". It matches the Rfam family "Bacterial small subunit ribosomal RNA", at positions 355 to 772 of the family's 1533-position model. The record is from RNAcentral.
UGAGGAAUAUUGGUCAAUGGGCGCAAGCCUGAACCAGCCAUCCCGCGUGAAGGAAGAAUGCGCUACGCGUUGUAAACUUCUUUUCCAGGGGGAGAAUUUUCCUGUCGAGACAGGGAUUGACGGUACCCUGGGAAUAAGCAUCGGCUAACUCCGUGCCAGCAGCCGCGGUAAUACGGAGGAUGCGAGCGUUAUCCGGAUUUAUUGGGUUUAAAGGGUGCGUAGGCGGAUUGAUAAGUCAGUGGUGAAAUUCUGCAGCUUAACUGUAGACUUGCCGUUGAUACUGUUAGUCUUGAGUGUGGUCAAGGCAGGCGGAAUGUGUAAUGUAGCGGUGAAAUGCUUAGAUAUUACACAGAACACCGAUUGCGAAGGCAGCUUGCUGGGUCAUUACUGACGCUGAUGCACGAAAGCGUGGGGAUCAAA